Molecule: unclassified non-coding RNA, 395 nt
Filed under: soil metagenome
Description: partial contains 5.8S ribosomal RNA, internal transcribed spacer 2, and large subunit ribosomal RNA
Rfam family: 5.8S ribosomal RNA (bases 1-120)
Source: RNAcentral
GAUGAAGAACGUAGCGAAAUGCGAUAAGUAGUGUGAAUUGCAGAAUUCAGUGAAUCAUCGAAUCUUUGAACGCACCUUGCGCUCCUUGGUAUUCCGAGGAGCAUGCCUGUUUGAGUGUCAUUAAAUUCUCAACCAUUAUCAACUUUUGCUGAUAAUGGCUUGGAUGUGGGGGUCUAUUUUGCUGGCUUCUCAGAUAGUCAGCUCCCCUUAAAUGCAUUAGCCGGUGCCCCGCGUGGACUGUCUAUUGGUGUGAUAAUUAUCUACGCUAUGGACAUCUGCAAUCAUAUGGGUUUGCGCUGCUUCUAACAGUCUGUUGAUUCAGACAAUACAUGACAAUUUGACCUCAAAUCAGGUAGGACUACCCGCUGAACUUAAGCAUAUCAAUAAGCGGAGGA